GACGAACGCUGGCGGCGUGCUUAACACAUGCAAGUCGAACGGAAAGGCCCUGCUUUUGUGGGGUGCUCGAGUGGCGAACGGGUGAGUAACACGUGAGUAACCUGCCCUCGACUUUGGGAUAACUUCAGGAAACUGGGGCUAAUACCGGAUAGGAGCUCCUGCUGCAUGGUGGGGGUUGGAAAGUUUCGGCGGUUGGGGAUGGACUCGCGGCUUAUCAGCUUGUUGGUGGGGUAGUGGCUUACCAAGGCUUUGACGGGUAGCCGGCCUGAGAGGGUGACCAGCCACAUUGGGACUGAGAUACGGCCCAGACUCCUACGGGAGGCAGCAGUGGGGAAUAUUGCACAAUGGGCGGAAGCCUGAUGCAGCAACGCCGCGUGCGGGAUGACGGCCUUCGGGUUGUAAACCGCUUUCGCCUGUGACGAAGCGUGAGUGACGGUAAUGGGUAAAGAAGCACCGGCUAACUACGUG
RNAcentral lists this ribosomal RNA (468 nucleotides) under uncultured bacterium. RNAcentral's name for it is "partial 16S ribosomal RNA". It matches the Rfam family "Bacterial small subunit ribosomal RNA", at positions 28 to 507 of the family's 1533-position model. The record is from RNAcentral.